RNAcentral lists this microRNA precursor (122 nucleotides) under Callithrix jacchus (white-tufted-ear marmoset). Its description in RNAcentral is "microRNA cja-mir-548g precursor". Its record names the gene cja-mir-548g. Lineage: Eukaryota; Metazoa; Chordata; Mammalia; Primates; Cebidae. The record is from miRBase by way of RNAcentral.
GUUGUUUAGAAAGUGAUACUAUUAUUUUGGUUCAAAAGUAAUUGCAGUUUUUCCCAUACUUUUUACGGCAAUAACAGCAAUUACUUUUGCACUAACCUAAUACGUUUAACCAUCAAACACAC